RNAcentral lists this unclassified non-coding RNA (358 nucleotides) under uncultured fungus. RNAcentral's name for it is "sequence contains ITS1". The stretch from base 1 to 97 matches the Rfam family "5.8S ribosomal RNA", at positions 50 to 154 of the family's 154-position model. The record is from RNAcentral. Lineage: Eukaryota; Fungi.
GAAAUGCGAUACGCAGUGCGAAUUGCAGAACGCGAGUCAUCAGAUCUUUGAACGCAAGUGGCGCCGGUUAGCAGCCGGCAUGUGAGGCUCAGUGUGUACGGAAAUCACACAGCGGAAUGUGGUUGAGUGCGCGCGCGGCGUCAAGCUUUUGCGCGCGCUCUCCCAUUAAACGCGCGUCUGAAACGCGGUGCGGCGGCGGGGACAUUCGCUCUCGUUUCGCACACUCUCUUCGGAAGUAGUCACUAGCUCCCUAGUGAUCUACGAGGAGACACACAGUGUGCAAGCGAGGGAUCGCCCCAUCACCGACCCACCCACCCCUACUACACCUGAGCUCCGCAAGAUUACCCGCUGAACUUAA